AGUAAUUAGCCUCCAAUUAAAAUUUUAAAACAUAUUAUAAAAUAAUUUUUUCAGCUGGUAUAGAAAUAGAGUUUUUCUCCCCUCUAAUAUUUGGCAGAAAUUAGCUAAGCCCUUCUUCCCUCAUCAUUCAAGCCUUAAACAGAGUGGAAAAUAUGGGGGAGGCACAGGUAAGCCAUGGUCAUGUGAGAGAGAAUCCAGGUCACUGUUUCAGACUCGGUUUUCAGCUCACUGACAGUUAUUUAAGGAAUGUUCAUGAGGCUUGCUGUUUCUAGGACACAUUUGUGUUCAGUGUGGCCCUGGGCUAGGUCAGAAGGGAAGACAUGGUUCUAAGAAUCAAAGGAAGACAAACACUGAUGUUUAUUCUUUUUUAAUUUUGUUUUUAAUUUCUGUCACUGCUUCAGCAAUGCAGAACACCCAUGAAGGAGGAUGUUUUGCAAAGUGUAUUAAGCCAUUGAAGGCCCUGAGGAGAAAGCAGACAAAUCCAACAAGUCCUUCAAGGAGACAUCACACUGUGUGCAGACUCUGUUGCUUAGCCCUCCUAGGACAAGCAUGAAUUCAAGACCUUCUCCAGCACGCUUAUUAGAGUCCAGUACUUGGUGACUAGACUUCAAACCGUCCUUUUCCACUAGAAGUGAAGCUUCAGGGACUUCUCUGGUGACCUGGUGCCUGAGACUCCACGCUUCUAUUUAGGGGAUCCAGGUUCGAUCCAUGGUUGGGGAACUGGACCCCAAAUACCACAACCAAGAGUCCUCAUGCCACAUCUAAAGAUCCCACAUGCUACAGCUAAAGAUUCCACAAGCUGCAACGAAGAUGGAAGAAGAUCUGCUAUGCCAGAAUUAAGACCCAGUGCAGCCAGAUAAGUAAUAAACAUUUAUUAAGAAAAAAAAGUGACGCUUCAGGAUAGCAGGGACCCACAGUAGGGGAAGGAGAGGGUGGGGCAAGCUGAGAGAGUAGCAUGGAAACACAUACAUUGCCAUGUACAAAGUAGAUAGCUAACGGGGAGUUGCUGUGUAACACAGGGGGCUCAGCCCAGUGCUCUGACAGCCUGGAGGAAUGGGUUGGGGUAGGGGAUGGUCAGGAGGGAGAGGACGAAUAUAUACUUAUGGUUGAUUCAUGUUCUCGUAUGGCAGAAGCCAACACAAUGUUGUAAAGCAGUUAUCUUCCAAUUAAAAAUUUUAAAAAAGAUCAGAGACUCUUGUUUUAUUCAUACCCCCAUGCUUGACAUAGGGUCUGGCACAUGGUAGGGUACCACAGAGGUGUGUCAAAUGAACAGAUGCUUCAUGGUGCUCAUAUCCGAAAUGGAGGCAGAAGCCCAGCAGUGGCUGUGAGUCAGUCAUUCCCUCAGCACUUAUUCACUGUGUCCUCAUGACCCUUGGAUGGAGUAAAUGUACAAAGCAGACAAGUCUUUACUAUGGAGGGGCUCUGAGCAAAGGAAACCUGUCCUGAGCAGGGUUAACGCAUUGAUCAAACACUGAAAAUAAAUAAUAACGAACCUUCAGUAAAAAUUUACAUAGAUGGAAAGUGGAAAUUAUGUUAAAGGGGGCUUUGUGGGAAGUUAGACUGAGUUGAGACAGCCGUGCAGUAAAGAAGAGAGAUUCUGAAGUAUAGAGGCAGAGUAAGAAGAAGCUUAAUCAGAAAAAAAAAUAAAGAAAAUGGGCAUUUUUCAGUACAAGUAUUCUGCCAGUUAGGAGGUGUGUCCGCCUGGUGAUUUUAAUUUCUCCCUGAAGUGGGGAGUAGUAUUCAGAAAGUGGAAAGUGCCAAGUACCCUCCUUCAUCUCCUGUGUUGGGAUAGCUCUGAGAAGAGACGUGCAGGGAAAGAGUGACUCAGUGGCCAGGAGAGGAGGGAACCAGGGUGUUUCAAAGAGAUGGUGGAGAUUUCAUUAAAGCACGACUGCCUCCUUCACUUUGGAAAAUCGUGGGAAGGACAGCCGAGAGGUCAGGACACCAGGCGAGCAGAUACACAGUAACACAGGCUGGGAAACCAAGAGGCCAGCUUUUAGCUGCAUAGCCCGUGGCAGGUGAUGGAGGUCCCGGCAAGAAAAAUUAAGGAACCUUGGCCAGUUGGCUUUGUCCACACAUACAACCAUCUCACUCCACGUCUCUUUUCUCUGUGUUUUCAUUUGGACACGCAGGGAUUCUAGAAAGCCUCAAAUGAAAAGGAGGUAUGAAACAGGGCUAGGAAGUGAUUAAUAUGUGAAUAAGGCACUUGAACAAGGCAGGGUUAGGCCGAAGAGUUAAGACACUUGGGAAGGUGGGAGGAGGCAAGGAAGACGUGGGAAGAAUAAAGUUCAGGGUCAAAGAUGAUGCUGCCAAAUCUGGUACAGAUCACCAGCUGGAGUUUGGGAAAAAGGAGAUGUGGGUCAGAGAAAGACUCAGGACUGAGGAGGCUUAUGAGCUCAGAGACGAAAGGGCAGAGCUGAAAGGUCUUCCUGAAUGGGUCACCUGAGCUGGCAACCAGAGGCUGAUGCAGCCCCAGAGUUCAGAGGAGCUUGAAACUCGGAGUGAGUCCAGGCACAGAUGAGCCUGUGAAGAGCAAUGAAGCAAAGUUUUCUUUUCUCCUGAAAAGUGCCGCUGUUGUGUUUUUGGUUUGCUUAGCUGGCUGCCCACCAGAAGAAACAAAUGACAAAGAUGGCCCAUCUGCCUCAGAGGCAGUGUGGCCUGCUGGGUAGGCACAGGCGUUGUGGGCACAGGAGGUUGCUGAACAGCCUUCUGGGCUCCAAGGCUCCAUGGUGCUGUGUCACUGACCGUGGCACAGGCUCUGCUGUUCUAAGUGGUGUGUCCCCUCCCUGACAGAGGGGGUGAUAAAGGGCUUUUGUUGGCUUGAGAUAAAAUAGCCUAGACAAGGCUUUUAGUGCAUCGUGGCACUUAGAACCUUUUCUCAAGCCUCAGAUGCAGUUUUCCUUUGGUAUUUUAACAUCUCUGAUAUUAGGAUAUGCAGCAUUGAUUUCUUAGUGGUACAUAAAAUACAAUUAAUGGUGCCUUAGAUUUGAUCUGGGAGAAGGCAAUGGCACCCCACUCCAGUACUCUUGCCUGGAAAAUCCCAUGG
Capra hircus (goat) is the source of this 3046-nucleotide long non-coding RNA. RefSeq lists it as uncharacterized. The transcript has 3 exons. Lineage: Eukaryota; Metazoa; Chordata; Mammalia; Artiodactyla; Bovidae. The record is from RefSeq and is a predicted model, not a curated record.